GGUUAAGCGACUAAGCGUACACGGUGGAUGCCCUGGCAGUCAGAGGCGAUGAAGGACGUGCUAAUCUGCGAUAAGCGUCGGUAAGGUGAUAUGAACCGUUAUAACCGGCGAUUUCCGAAUGGGGAAACCCAGUGUGUUUCGACACACUAUCAUUAACUGAAUCCAUAGGUUAAUGAGGCGAACCGGGGGAACUGAAACAUCUAAGUACCCCGAGGAAAAGAAAUCAACCGAGAUUCCCCCAGUAGCGGCGAGCGAACGGGGAGCAGCCCAGAGCCUGAAUCAGUGUGUGUGUUAGUGGAAGCGUCUGGAAAGGCGCGCGAUACAGGGUGAUAGCCCCGUACACAAAAAUGCACAUGCUGUGAGCUCGAUGAGUAGGGCGGGACACGUGGUAUCCUGUCUGAAUAUGGGGGGACCAUCCUCCAAGGCUAAAUACUCCUGACUGACCGAUAGUGAACCAGUACCGUGAGGGAAAGGCGAAAAGAACCCCGGCGAGGGGAGUGAAAAAGAACCUGAAACCGUGUACGUACAAGCAGUGGGAGCCUCUUUAUGGGGUGACUGCGUACCUUUUGUAUAAUGGGUCAGCGACUUAUAUUCUGUAGCAAGGUUAACCGAAUAGGGGAGCCGAAGGGAAACCGAGUCUUAACUGGGCGUUAAGUUGCAGGGUAUAGACCCGAAACCCGGUGAUCUAGCCAUGGGCAGGUUGAAGGUUGGGUAACACUAACUGGAGGACCGAACCGACUAAUGUUGAAAAAUUAGCGGAUGACUUGUGGCUGGGGGUGAAAGGCCAAUCAAACCGGGAGAUAGCUGGUUCUCCCCGAAAGCUAUUUAGGUAGCGCCUCGUGAAUUCAUCUCCGGGGGUAGAGCACUGUUUCGGCAAGGGGGUCAUCCCGACUUACCAACCCGAUGCAAACUGCGAAUACCGGAGAAUGUUAUCACGGGAGACACACGGCGGGUGCUAACGUCCGUCGUGAAGAGGGAAACAACCCAGACCGCCAGCUAAGGUCCCAAAGUCAUGGUUAAGUGGGAAACGAUGUGGGAAGGCCCAGACAGCCAGGAUGUUGGCUUAGAAGCAGCCAUCAUUUAAAGAAAGCGUAAUAGCUCACUGGUCGAGUCGGCCUGCGCGGAAGAUGUAACGGGGCUAAACCAUGCACCGAAGCUGCGGCAGCGACGCUUAUGCGUUGUUGGGUAGGGGAGCGUUCUGUAAGCCUGUGAAGGUGUGCUGUGAGGCAUGCUGGAGGUAUCAGAAGUGCGAAUGCUGACAUAAGUAACGAUAAAGCGGGUGAAAAGCCCGCUCGCCGGAAGACCAAGGGUUCCUGUCCAACGUUAAUCGGGGCAGGGUGAGUCGACCCCUAAGGCGAGGCCGAAAGGCGUAGUCGAUGGGAAACAGGUUAAUAUUCCUGUACUUGGUGUUACUGCGAAGGGGGGACGGAGAAGGCUAUGUUGGCCGGGCGACGGUUGUCCCGGUUUAAGCGUGUAGGCUGGUUUUCCAGGCAAAUCCGGAAAAUCAAGGCUGAGGCGUGAUGACGAGGCACUACGGUGCUGAAGCAACAAAUGCCCUGCUUCCAGGAAAAGCCUCUAAGCAUCAGGUAACAUCAAAUCGUACCCCAAACCGACACAGGUGGUCAGGUAGAGAAUACCAAGGCGCUUGAGAGAACUCGGGUGAAGGAACUAGGCAAAAUGGUGCCGUAACUUCGGGAGAAGGCACGCUGAUAUGUAGGUGAAGUCCCUCGCGGAUGGAGCUGAAAUCAGUCGAAGAUACCAGCUGGCUGCAACUGUUUAUUAAAAACACAGCACUGUGCAAACACGAAAGUGGACGUAUACGGUGUGACGCCUGCCCGGUGCCGGAAGGUUAAUUGAUGGGGUCAGCGCAAGCGAAGCUCUUGAUCGAAGCCCCGGUAAACGGCGGCCGUAACUAUAACGGUCCUAAGGUAGCGAAAUUCCUUGUCGGGUAAGUUCCGACCUGCACGAAUGGCGUAAUGAUGGCCAGGCUGUCUCCACCCGAGACUCAGUGAAAUUGAACUCGCUGUGAAGAUGCAGUGUACCCGCGGCAAGACGGAAAGACCCCGUGAACCUUUACUAUAGCUUGACACUGAACAUUGAGCCUUGAUGUGUAGGAUAGGUGGGAGGCUUUGAAGUGUGGACGCCAGUCUGCAUGGAGCCGACCUUGAAAUACCACCCUUUAAUGUUUGAUGUUCUAACGUUGACCCGUAAUCCGGGUUGCGGACAGUGUCUGGUGGGUAGUUUGACUGGGGCGGUCUCCUCCUAAAGAGUAACGGAGGAGCACGAAGGUUGGCUAAUCCUGGUCGGACAUCAGGAGGUUAGUGCAAUGGCAUAAGCCAGCUUGACUGCGAGCGUGACGGCGCGAGCAGGUGCGAAAGCAGGUCAUAGUGAUCCGGUGGUUCUGAAUGGAAGGGCCAUCGCUCAACGGAUAAAAGGUACUCCGGGGAUAACAGGCUGAUACCGCCCAAGAGUUCAUAUCGACGGCGGUGUUUGGCACCUCGAUGUCGGCUCAUCACAUCCUGGGGCUGAAGUAGGUCCCAAGGGUAUGGCUGUUCGCCAUUUAAAGUGGUACGCGAGCUGGGUUUAGAACGUCGUGAGACAGUUCGGUCCCUAUCUGCCGUGGGCGCUGGAGAACUGAGGGGGGCUGCUCCUAGUACGAGAGGACCGGAGUGGACGCAUCACUGGUGUUCGGGUUGUCAUGCCAAUGGCACUGCCCGGUAGCUAAAUGCGGAAGAGAUAAGUGCUGAAAGCAUCUAAGCACGAAACUUGCCCCGAGAUGAGUUCUCCCUGACUCCUUGAGAGUCCUGAAGGAACGUUGAAGACGACGACGUUGAUAGGCCGGGUGUGUAAGCGCAGCGAUGCGUUGAGCUAACCGGUACUAAUGAACCGUGAGGCUUAACCUU
RNAcentral lists this ribosomal RNA (2903 nucleotides) under Escherichia coli. RNAcentral's name for it is "23S ribosomal RNA". It matches the Rfam family "Bacterial large subunit ribosomal RNA". The record is from RNAcentral. Lineage: Bacteria; Pseudomonadati; Pseudomonadota; Gammaproteobacteria; Enterobacterales; Enterobacteriaceae.